AUGAAUAAAGAACAGCAGGACUUUCUUUUAAAAAAUGCUUCCGAAAAUGAACUUGGUUAUUUUUCCUAGACAGGAAUAGCUGGCAGAGGGACAGCAGAUGCCAGAGGCAGCAGCAGAGAGAACGGAGAUGGAACAUAGAGACCCAGGGCAAGUAAUUUGUUCUCAUUAACUGGACCUUGGGGAUCUUCAGGAGUUUACCUGAACACCCAGGAGGCUGAACUUGCAUAUCAGUGCCCUCGGAUUGGUGGAUGCAGAAGGUAAAGUUCUGGUCUCAUCUAAGUGUUUCUCACACAGAUAAGUUCUUUCCGUUCUUAUCAGACUAACUAAGAGAAGUCUGUGCUGCAGCUCCUACUGGUUCCCUCUUUGACCAUGGCAAUCGCUGGCACCUCUCCUAUUCCUAGAACACCUUGUUCCCUGCUCCUCCCAGAUGAAGGGGCAAGAGAGCAGAAAGGACAUUGGAACUCUCUGCUAAAGUAACCUUGGACACCAGCCCAUAAUAAUGCACACACCUGUGCAUGCACGCACACACAUGCACACACCAUACUUUUGCAUGCAAACAUCCUUCUAUUCUUACAGAAUCCAGAUGCUGACCUCCCAGUGAGGGUUCCCAAGCCCUCCGUCCACUGGAAUAGUUAAAUUAUGGUGCCCUGGCCUGAACCCCGCGCAUACUCUGUGGUGCUCCCUCUGUGCCGUGGCCACCAGCCUCCACCUUUCAACAGCCAGAGCAUUGAAACUACCUUCUUUCCUUUAAUGUAAUCAAAUUCUUGGGCAGAGUUGAUCGUAAUCAGUGUUGACUGUUUGUUAUUUUAAAUAGUAAUUUUUUUUCUUAUCCUGGCAAAGUUCAUCUCCUUGUGGCUCCAGAUUUUCAGUCUAGUUAUUUUAUGUCUUCCACCAUUUGUGUCUGAAAGGUUAAAUGUGGUGCCUUUUUUUCCUUACCGCAUGCAUAAAUGCAUGUAUUUUCUGUAUUUGGACGUAGAACUCUGUGUGUUGGGGGCUGGGAUAAA
Molecule: long non-coding RNA, 1004 nt
Filed under: Homo sapiens (human)
Lineage: Eukaryota; Metazoa; Chordata; Mammalia; Primates; Hominidae
Description: HSALNT0037092
Source: RNAcentral